CAAUGCGUGGUUAAAGGUAACUCCUGGUAUGGUGUUGGGGAGGAGAAGGAACCAUGGGGCUGGUGUCAUUGGGGAGGGACUUGGACUGAGGCAUGGAAGACAGAGACAGUUAAACCAGAUAGAAGAAAUGGGGGACCAGGCCUCAGACCUACAGAACAGCUGCCAAGGUGGGACUGAGCACCAGGGGGAGCAGGCAGUGAGGAAACCAGCCCGGAACUUCCCACAGAUUUUGGAAUCCUCGCGGUGAAGGCCUGGGGUGAUGUCAUAGGCCACUCCUGACUGACUGAGAGGCCAAGUGCUGAAACCGCAAGCUGGGAAUGAACCAAGUCAAACUGGGGAGCUGGAAUUCUGGACGAGAUCACCUGAUGCCUGAGUUUCUGGGGCUGCUUCCCCCUCUCCAGACGCGGAUACUGAGACUCAAGAGGCCACCCCAGUGUGGACCGCUGGUGCACGACAGAAUCGGGAUUCUGACCAGAGCUGUCUGGUCCCAGAGCCUGUGCUUGUGACUGUGAUGUGAUGCAGGAGAGUGGACUAUACCAGCGUGUAGACUGCCUGGAACAAAUAGAAACCCAGCUGAGUUCCUGCAAUUUACAUAGGUGAAUCUAGAAAUGGAAUUGCCUAAGGAUUUGGCAGAAGGUGAAAAAGAAGAGCUAAAGAGGAGCAUAGAAGGAGACACUUGGCCUUUGUGUCCAGAGAAGAAAGAGAAUGCCUUUGGGGAGGUUGCGAUCACCAGACGGCUGGCCCUCAGCAACACUGAAGCCCAGAAGUCGGAUUGCCCAGCGGCUUAUGGGGAGUGACCCCUUUGUUUCUCUGAAGCCGUCUCCUCCUAAUCCCCUUAGCUCUAUAAAAGCCCGCUGCUUUCUGUUCUUGGGGAGACAGACUCCAGCAAACCCAGGCUCCCAUCCACUCAUUUUGGCCAAUUUAAUUAAAUCUUUCUCCAUCUCCAAGCACCGGUGUCUCAGUGUUUGGCUUGCUGUGCAUCGGGCACACAAGCUUGAGAUUAAGAGGUUCAGUAUCGAUCAUUCUGUUUAAUUGCCUGAAACACAAGGCUCAAAUGAUCCUGAGAAGAAGACUGGCUCGCACACAGCCUAGUAGAGCUCAGUGCUGGACCGCUGUGAAAAAUUCCAAUCCAAUGGUGGCUUGUUUAUUUUAAAUUAUUCAAAAUCAUUUUAAAGCCUUAAAAAUGGAAGUAGUUGCAACUUCAUGUGGUGAAAUAACAUGGGUAUUUGAGAAGAGAAAUGUGAUAUUGUUUAUAAUGAUAAUAAUAUCGGCCACCACGUACUAGCCCUUACUGUGUUCCAGGUUUUCUACUAACUGCUCUGUAUACCUGCUCUUCAACCCAAAUAGUUCUCAGGGUUAGCACAGUGCUUCUCAUUUUCUGCUUGCUGUCUUCAUUUCUACUUUGUUAAUCUUAAUGCAUACACACUCUUUAUCUUAACACACUUCAAAUUUCUUUUGAAACGAGGCAGCAUUCUGAUCAAUGAAAAUAUUUUGGAGUGAUUUUCUAAAGAGUGAUCGUAAAGGCUUUAGUUUAUCUUAAAUUCUAGAGAAUGGAUGGUUUACCCAGAAGGAAGACAACAGCCGUUCCUGUUAAAUUAUUCUGCUAAUGUUUACUUUGGAAAACGGUGGUAUUUUAUGCAAACAAAAUUGGAAAGCCUCCAUUUGGGCUCUGCAGGGACAAAGGCCUUUCCUGUGACUAAGGAUUGUCUGGUGGGGCUUCUGGAGGAAGGCUUCGUCAAUUCCACACCUGCCCGUGGAUCACACGGGGCAUGUGGGGUGGGUUCUAGAAUGAAGUCUGACUCACUCUUUUUCAAUAUAAAUAAUGUGUAUUCAUAUACAUGUAAUUGUUGUACUUUAUGAACAAUUUAUAUAUGUGUGUGCAUAUAAAUAUACUAUGUAUGCGAUCAUUUCUUUAAGCUAUUUCUCCCUAAUUAGCCCUCCAUUAAUUGUGCAAACUACUUAUGCACAAUAACCUAUUGAAAUACAAACUGUUCAGACAAUUCAGACUUCCAGAGAGGAGGACAGCUGCUCACAGAUGAGGACUCUUGCCCUUGGCAAGCUGUUUUUGAGGGAGCUGUCAGAAAUCUGAGAGGGACAACUAACACCUCCACUCAAGGGCAGGAGAAGCGCCCUCCAGCUGGCAGCUCACUCUAUCACUUGGGUGGACGUUCCUUCUGGGGCUGGGAUCCCUUUAUCUAUCCCAGUCACACUGCCAUUGGGAGAGGCUUUGGGAGGGCGGGGAGGGGACAUCAGGUGAGGUCAUUGCUCAAGAAUCAGGGUUGUUGACUCAAAGAUCCUCUCACGAAUUUCCAGGUGCCUUCUAAGCAAGGUUUAAAGGAAACUACACAACAAAGCAAGUGGUCCUUAGAAUCUGAAGGACAAGGCAGUUCACUGUCGCUAAAUGGAAGCUUUGUUAUUAAAAGAGCUCUUAUCUGGUGAGGCUCUGAGAAAAUUUGCGAAGUCACGUAGCCAGAGCAUGCACAGAAGAAAUUUUGACCUGAAAUGACCAUGGAACCAAAGAUUCUCCUCCCCACAGAUCCAAGGAGCAGGACACAACCCCGAACUUGAAAGUCAGACUCUUACCAGAAGUGAGAGGUCCAUCAUUCUGGAAGAUCUGGUGUUAGAAUUCCUUACCCACCUUACCAUAAAUGUUUAGAACCUCAUCAUAAAUGUUUAGAACCUCAUCAUAAAUGUUUAGAACCUUACCACAAAUGCCUGAAGCCUACCACUCAAAACCUGUCCUGCCAGUGUUUCUGUGUGCCAGCCUCUUCUCCCUAACCUCUUAGAUUUUGCCCCAAAUCGUGAAUUGGGGAGACAGAUCUGAUGGCACACGCCCCCUGUCUCCCUGCAGAUUCAUCUCUCAUAAUAAACCUGACUUCUCCCCCAAAAGCUGAUGCCAUAGUUAAUUGGUUUAUGCAUAUUGGGCAAGAGAACCCAAUUUUGUGCAGUAACAAUAGUCUUCAG
This 2964-nucleotide long non-coding RNA is filed under the name Equus caballus (horse). RNAcentral's name for it is "lncRNA (ENSECAG00000046323.1)". The record is from RNAcentral. Lineage: Eukaryota; Metazoa; Chordata; Mammalia; Perissodactyla; Equidae.